GAACCGACUAAUGUUGAAAAAUUAGCGGAUGACUUGUGGCUGGGGGUGAAAGGCCAAUCAAACCGGGAGAUAGCUGGUUCUCCCCGAAAGCUAUUUAGGUAGCGCCUCGUGAAUUCAUCUUCGGGGGUAGAGCACUGUUUCGGCAAGGGGGUCAUCCCGACUUACCAACCCGAUGCAAACUGCGAAUACCGGAGAAUGUUAUCACGGGAGACACACGGCGGGUGCUAACGUCCGUCGUGAAGAGGGAAACAACCCAGACCGCCAGCUAAGGUCCCAAAGUCAUGGUUAAGUGGGAAACGAUGUGGGAAGGCCCAGACAGCCAGGAUGUUGGCUUAGAAGCAGCCAUCAUUUAAAGAAAGCGUAAUAGCUCACUGGUCGAGUCGGCCUGCGCGGAAGAUGUAACGGGGCUAAACCAUGCACCGAAGCUGCGGCAGCGACGCUUAUGCGUUGUUGGAUAGGGGAGCGUUCUGUAAGCCUGUGAAGGUGUACUGUGAGGUAUGCUGGAGGUAUCAGAAGUGCGAAUGCUGACAUAAGUAACGAUAAAGCGGGUGAAAAGCCCGCUCGCCGGAAGACCAAGGGUUCCUGUCCAACGUUAAUCGGGGCAGGGUGAGUCGACCCCUAAGGCGAGGCCGAAAGGCGUAGUCGAUGGGAAACAGGUUAAUAUUCCUGUACUUGGUGUUACUGCGAAGGGGGGACGGAGAAGGCUAUGUUGGCCGGGCGACGGUUGUCCCGGUUUAAGCGUGUAGGCUGGUUUUCCAGGCAAAUCCGGAAAAUCNAGGCUGAGGCGUGAUGACGAGGCACUACGGUGCUGAAGCAACAAAUGCCCUGCUUCCAGGAAAAGCCUCUAAGCAUCAGGUAACAUCAAAUCGUACCCCAAACCGACACAGGUGGUCAGGUAGAGAAUACCAAGGCGCUUGAGAGAACUCGGGUGAAGGAACUAGGCAAAAUGGUGCCGUAACUUCGGGAGAAGGCACGCUGAUAUGUAGGUGAAGCGACUUGCUCGUGGAGCUGAAAUCAGUCGAAGAUACCAGCUGGCUGCAACUGUUUAUUAAAAACACAGCACUGUGCAAACACGAAAGUGGACGUAUACGGUGUGACGCCUGCCCGGUGCCGGAAGGUUAAUUGAUGGGGUUAGCGGUAACGCGAAGCUCUUGAUCGAAGCCCCGGUAAACGGCGGCCGUAACUAUAACGGUCCUAAGGUAGCGAAAUUCCUUGUCGGGUAAGUUCCGACCUGCACGAAUGGCGUAAUGAUGGCCAGGCUGUCUCCACCCGAGACUCAGUGAAAUUGAACUCGCUGUGAAGAUGCAGUGUACCCGCGGCAAGACGGAAAGACCCCGUGAACCUUUACUAUAGCUUGACACUGAACAUUGAGCCUUGAUGUGUAGGAUAGGUGGGAGGCUUUGAAGUGUGGACGCCAGUCUGCAUGGAGCCGACCUUGAAAUACCACCCUUUAAUGUUUGAUGUUCUAACGUUGGCCCCUNAUCGGGGUUGCGGACAGUGUCUGGUGGGUAGUUUGACUGGGGCGGUCUCCUCCUAAAGAGUAACGGAGGAGCACGAAGGUUGGCUAAUCCUGGUCGGACAUCAGGAGGUUAGUGCAAUGGCAUAAGCCAGCUUGACUGCGAGCGUGACGGCGCGAGCAGGUGCGAAAGCAGGUCAUAGUGAUCCGGUGGUUCUGAAUGGAAGGGCCAUCGCUCAACGGAUAAAAGGUACUCCGGGGAUAACAGGCUGAUACCGCCCAAGAGUUCAUAUCGACGGCGGUGUUUGGCACCUCGAUGUCGGCUCAUCACAUCCUGGGGCUGAAGUAGGUCCCAAGGGUAUGGCUGUUCGCCAUUUAAAGUGGUACGCGAGCUGGGUUUAGAACGUCGUGAGACAGUUCGGUCCCUAUCUGCCGUGGGCGCUGGAGAACUGAGGGGGGCUGCUCCUAGUACGAGAGGACCGGAGUGGACGCAUCACUGGUGUUCGGGUUGUCAUGCCAAUGGCACUGCCCGGUAGCUAAAUGCGGAAGAGAUAAGUGCUGAAAGCAUCUAAGCACGAAACUUGCCCCGAGAUGAGUUCUCCCUGACUCCUUGAGAGUCCUGAAGGAACGUUGAAGACGACGACGUUGAUAGGCCGGGUGUGUAAGCGCAGCGAUGCGUUGAGCUAACCGGUACUAAUGAACCGUGAGGCUUAACCUU
RNAcentral lists this ribosomal RNA (2174 nucleotides) under Escherichia coli. Its description in RNAcentral is "bacterial LSU rRNA". It matches the Rfam family "Bacterial large subunit ribosomal RNA", at positions 776 to 2925 of the family's 2925-position model. Lineage: Bacteria; Pseudomonadati; Pseudomonadota; Gammaproteobacteria; Enterobacterales; Enterobacteriaceae. The record is from RNAcentral.